CCAAUCCAAGCCAAACCCUCCCAAAGCGUUCCUCUCUCUUCCAGGCUCAUCUCAUAGACUACACCAUUAUGAUAGUGCCAGUGUGAGCUUCUAGACCAAUCCAUAGAGGGAAGAAAGUUGUAAUUGCAAAUUGCUGUGGUUUGUUCUUUUAGCAUUGGGAGGAAGACUGGAUGAGUAAAAACCACAGAGCAAGAAGAUGAUAUACCAAAAAUGGAGUCUCCUGACGGGACCAGUGGUCAUUGCAAACUUACUUUUCAUUAAGAAUGUAAACUUUUCUUUUCUUUUCCGUCGAUUUCCAAACCCUAGAUGUUCUAUUUGAGUUUUGUUAUUUGAUUUUUUGGGUGAAUCGAAGAAUUCAUAUUUGCUGAGAUUUCUUUUGAAAUUUCUCCGGUGGAAUGAUUUGCAUUAGGUUUUUAUUCAUCAUAAGAUUUGAUUAUGGGAGACAUCUUUCUUGAUAAACCUUAUGGCUGUUGGAUCGUGCCUCUGUUUAUAAUCGUAAAAAUUGAAUUUGUUUUAUGCAGUUUGUCAAUAAAUUUGAAUGAUUGUUAUUGAGCCUUGUUCAAGUUGAGUUCGAAAGUAAUCAAUGUUGGAUUUGAUAUUUGGAACCACUAAAAGCUGAAAUUAUACUCAAUUGAGCAUACUAUAAAAUUAUAUUAGAUGUUUAUAUGUACUGGGGAGAGGGUUUUAUUGUUAGACCAAGGAAAAAUGAGGGAAGGGGGGGAAAUACAACAAUUUGACUAGGUGUUAAGGUGUUCUGUACUUCAAUGGAAAUAGUUUGUAAAAAUUAGUAAUGCUAUAUCAAUUUUAUUUUAAGAUCAGUUUUUUAGCCCCUUACAAUAAGAAUCCUAUGGAUUUGAAUAUAACCUCACAAAUUUUAAGAAGAAGAAGAAGCAAUCAGCGAAGGAGGAAAAUGUUGGAGUUGCCAUAGCGGAUCAAAGUUAUUAAAAGCGAUACAAUCUACAGCAGAGCUGUUGGUCUAGGAGGGAUGGCAAUCGGAGACCAGGAAGGAGGGCAAAUUUUAAUCUCAUAUUGUUUUCUGAGUUUUUCUUGUCAACGUAAAUCAUAGUUUUUCAUUGUGAUUUUGUUGUUAGGAGGCUGAACUUCCAGUGGUUGAGCCUACGCCAAAGGUGUUGCCAAACGAUGAGGAUCCAAGUUUGUUAAGCAGAAAUAAAAGAAUGUUAGGGCAACUUUUAGGUACUUUGGAGGUAUGAAUAAGUGAAUUCUGUGAUCUUAUUUUUUAUUUAUUACUGACAACGUGUUUUUUAUUUAUGCAUGAGAGAAGGAGAGAUCUGGUUAGUUAUUGAAUAUAUAAAUCAUAGUUGUGUUGAUGAAACCUUAAAUAGUUUUCAUUAACCCUAUGGCAAAGCUCACUCUCUUUACCAUUUUUCCUUAUACUGAAAUAGUCUUAGAGCACGCGUUGCUGCCAAAACAGAAGAAAAGAAGUUAGAAUUGUUGUUUCUUCGAUGGAGUGAGCACCAUAAAAACUUUGCAUAUUUAUAAGGUAUGUGGUUCUUCCAUUUCAUAUAAAAUCUUUUGUGCCUGCUAAAGUCAUUGACAUUUAAUCAACUGCAUUAAUAUUUUUCUGUAACUGAUAUUCUAUUACAGUUUAUUUUUAACUUUGGUCCAAAGUGUCCAUACUUACAGAUUUAUAGAGACAAAGAUAAGUUUCUAUUCAUAUGCAUAGUAGCGUUAAAGGAACCCGCAGUGAAUAUUCCUUUUGCUUUGUAGGAUUUUAGAUAGAAUUACUUAGUAAUUUCUGUCACUUCUGACACAUUGUUAAUUAUUUCUGGGAUGUGUUUUUCAGGACUAAGGCAGAGCCUCCAAUUUAUUAUUUGCCUAACAAAGCAUUGGAUGAAGAUGCAACAUUGCUUGAGCAUCGCAAAGAACAGGGCCCUUCUCACAAGCAUGGGGAGGGUUGGUGGUCUGGAAGGUUUUGGAACAUAGUAAUCUCCCAGUAAAUUUGUGUGGAAUGUCUCACACCUCUGUUCAUAACAUUUCAGACAUUUUCCGAAUGGAAGGCUACCAGGAGAGAGGAACUGUCUGAACAUCAGAAGCAGAUAGCUGAGCAGUAUCUUGGCAAUGUUGAAAAGGAACUAGAAAGGUGGCAAAAUGCAAGGAAAGCAAGGAGACCUAACAAUGAUGCAAAUUUACAGGAAUCGAUGGACAAAGAAUUGGACACCCAUAGGCUUGAGCAUGGUCCCAAGACAAGAAAGAUCCCUGGCGGAAGCAACAAUGAAGAUGAAGAUGAUGUAGAGGAUAUCAAUGUUGGGGAGGAUGACAUGAUGGAUGAUGUGCUGGUAGUUGAUGAUAACAGUAGAAGGGGUGAUGAAGCAGCCAAGCCAGAAGCUGGUACCACCAGUCCACAUCAUGAUAAUAUUGAUCAGUGAUAUUGAAGACAUCCAAUCAAAUCCUUAUUCAGGUUAUUCCCUUACUAGUGUAUUUUACAUUCUGUAUUUUGCCUGCCUUUAUGUAGGUUUUCUUCCCUUUCUCUUUGGUUUCUUUUAUUCAUUGAGGAUGAAUAAUGAAUUGUUAUAUUGAGGGACUUAGUAAAUGUGGUUGUCCUGAUCAACUCAUAUUGAGGGAAACAUAUAUAAUUCCAAUUUGAUAAUGUCAUGUAGCUGUAGGCCUCCAUGUGAGGAUGAGGUUUUUGGAGCAGUAGUGUUGAAGUUUGUUGUCCCUUUUAACUGGUACAAUUAGGUUGGCACUGGCACGCACUGUCAAGCGGUUGCACCCCAGGCCCAGUCUACUUUCUCCCUUUACUAUUUUUGUUUGAAAGCCAUGUACUAACACUGUAGUGUGUUAAUGAACGAGUAGCAACAAAUUGUACGGCCU
This 2832-nucleotide unclassified non-coding RNA is filed under the name Hevea brasiliensis (rubber tree). The record is from RNAcentral. Lineage: Eukaryota; Viridiplantae; Streptophyta; Magnoliopsida; Malpighiales; Euphorbiaceae.